RNAcentral lists this long non-coding RNA (219 nucleotides) under Capsicum annuum. RNAcentral's name for it is "long non-coding RNA (CANN_LNC019950)". The record is from RNAcentral. Lineage: Eukaryota; Viridiplantae; Streptophyta; Magnoliopsida; Solanales; Solanaceae.
UGUGAAAUACUUAAGAAUCUCAUUAAAUGAAAGGAUAAAUUAUACUGAGCUUGAUCAUGAAGAUGCUGUGAAUGAUGAUUGCGUGAUAUGUUUAGAAGAGCUUGGAAAGUUCUUGCCCAGUUUGCCGUUAUCAUCUCUAGAUAUAUAGCUUCUUCCCCUUUUGUUUUUUGAUGUUACCAUGUAAAUACCUCAUCUAUCUGUUGUUUAUAUUGAAGUUGA